Molecule: long non-coding RNA, 332 nt
Filed under: Dasypus novemcinctus (nine-banded armadillo)
Lineage: Eukaryota; Metazoa; Chordata; Mammalia; Cingulata; Dasypodidae
Description: lncRNA (ENSDNOG00000052453.1)
Source: RNAcentral
CGUCAGCAGGAGCGCCCGCUGCUGGGCCCGCCUCCGGGUCGGGGGCUCUGACCGCAUCCGAGGCGCGUCCGACUGCAGUAGGGGAGAGACGGAGGCGCUGUCAUCUUCUCGACUUGGGCGCCUCACUCUCCCGGGACUCGUGAUGCCAGAGCUGCCGCGUGGGGCGAGAAAUAGUCGGGGCUGAGCCCCAGCUGGGCCGAGGGCUCGCACUCUUCUGGUCUCUCGGACAAGACUCACCUGAAGGAAUGAGUGGUGGAUUGGCUCCAAGUAAAAGUACAGUGUAUGUAUCCAACUUGCCCUUUUCCCUAACAAACAAUGACUUAUAUCGGGUA